GCCCUCAUAGCUCAGUCGGUAGAGCACACCCUUGGUAAGGGUGAGGUCACGGGUUCGAGUCUCGUUGAGGGCU
This 73-nucleotide transfer RNA is filed under the name Pseudomonadota bacterium. RNAcentral describes it as "tRNA-Thr". It matches the Rfam family "tRNA". Rfam says of the family: Transfer RNA (tRNA) molecules are approximately 80 nucleotides in length. Their secondary structure includes four short double-helical elements and three loops (D, anti-codon, and T loops). RNAcentral also lists the same sequence under 1 other name. The record is from RNAcentral. Lineage: Bacteria; Pseudomonadati; Pseudomonadota.